RNAcentral lists this transfer RNA (73 nucleotides) under Heterocephalus glaber (naked mole-rat). It matches the Rfam family "tRNA". Rfam says of the family: Transfer RNA (tRNA) molecules are approximately 80 nucleotides in length. Their secondary structure includes four short double-helical elements and three loops (D, anti-codon, and T loops). Lineage: Eukaryota; Metazoa; Chordata; Mammalia; Rodentia; Bathyergidae. The record is from Rfam by way of RNAcentral.
GCCUGGCUAGCUCAGUUAAUAGAGCAUGAGACUCUUAAUCUCAGGGUUGUGGGUUUGAGGCCCCUGUUGGGUG